This 276-nucleotide long non-coding RNA is filed under the name Ananas comosus (pineapple). Its description in RNAcentral is "long non-coding RNA (ACOM_LNC037622)". Lineage: Eukaryota; Viridiplantae; Streptophyta; Magnoliopsida; Poales; Bromeliaceae. The record is from RNAcentral.
GCACGCAUCCCUAGGAUGUUGGAGUGAGGCUUGGCACCAAAAUCCCAAAACCGGAAUUUUUGGUCAGCUCUCGGAUAGCCUGCAGCAGAGCUUGUACCGGAACAAGACUGGUCUUGUACCGGUACAAGGUUGAUGGUUGUACCGGUACAGCCAUCGGGCUUGUACCGGUACAGAGCCGCAGACCCCGCGACCCGAGCCUCGGGUUUGCAUUUUCGUGGGCCUUGUACCGGUACAAGAGCCCGUGUACCGGUACAAGGAGGCAGUUUUCGUGCAGUU